UCACUAUAAAUAAUAAGUUGUAUAAUUUGUUUUGCGAUUGAACUCGAACUAGCCAUAAUGAACUACAUUCUUUUAUGUAAACAACCAUAUUACGGGCUACAAACCUCAAAAUUAGGUGAUUCAAAAACUGGUUCAAACAUGACUCAAAGAUCUAUUGUUUGGGCAGAAGAAUAGCCCAAAAAGGUAGUUGAAAGGUCUCGAAAAGUCAAUUCAAUGUUUCCAUU
RNAcentral lists this long non-coding RNA (224 nucleotides) under Gossypium barbadense (sea-island cotton). RNAcentral describes it as "long non-coding RNA (GBAR_LNC017125)". The record is from RNAcentral. Lineage: Eukaryota; Viridiplantae; Streptophyta; Magnoliopsida; Malvales; Malvaceae.